RNAcentral lists this ribosomal RNA (515 nucleotides) under uncultured bacterium. Its description in RNAcentral is "partial 16S ribosomal RNA". It matches the Rfam family "Bacterial small subunit ribosomal RNA", at positions 28 to 523 of the family's 1533-position model. The record is from RNAcentral.
GAUAAACGCUGGCGGCGUGCCUAAUACAUGCAAGUCGAGCGAAUGGAUUAAGAGCUUGCUCUUAUGAAGUUAGCGGCGGACGGGUGAGUAACACGUGGGUAACCUGCCCAUAAGACUAGGAUAACUCCGGGAAACCGGGGCUAAUACCGGAUAACAUUUUGAACCGCAUGGUUCGAAAUUGAAAGGCGGCUUCGGCUGUCACUUAUGGAUGGACCCGCGUCGCGUUAGCUAGUUGGUGAGGUAACGGCUCACCAAGGCAACGAUGCGUAGCCGGCCUGAGAGGGGGAUCGGCCAAACUGGGACUGAGACACGGCCCAGACUCCUACGGGAGGGAGCAGUAGGGAAUCUUCCGCAAUGGACGAAAGUCUGACGGAGCAACGCCGCGUGAGUGAUGAAGGCUUUCGGGUCGUAAAACUCUGUUGUUAGGGAAGAACAAGUGCUAGUUGAAUAAGCUGGCACCUUGACGGUACCUAACCAGAAAGCCACGGCUAACUACGUGCCAGCCGCCGCAGUAA